Molecule: ribosomal RNA, 3010 nt
Filed under: Salmonella enterica subsp. enterica serovar Kentucky
Lineage: Bacteria; Pseudomonadati; Pseudomonadota; Gammaproteobacteria; Enterobacterales; Enterobacteriaceae
Description: bacterial LSU rRNA
Rfam family: Bacterial large subunit ribosomal RNA
Source: RNAcentral
GGGUUGUGAGGUUAAGCGACUAAGCGUACACGGUGGAUGCCCUGGCAGUCAGAGGCGAUGAAGGACGUGCUAAUCUGCGAUAAGCGCCGGUAAGGUGAUAUGAACCGUUAUAACCGGCGAUUUCCGAAUGGGGAAACCCAGUGUGACUCGUCACACUAUCAUUAACUGAAUCCAUAGGUUAAUGAGGCGAACCGGGGGAACUGAAACAUCUAAGUACCCCGAGGAAAAGAAAUCAACCGAGAUUCCCCCAGUAGCGGCGAGCGAACGGGGAGGAGCCCAGAGCCUGAAUCAGCAUGUGUGUUAGUGGAAGCGUCUGGAAAGGCGCGCGAUACAGGGUGACAGCCCCGUACACAAAAGCGCAUGUGCUGUGAGCUCGAUGAGUAGGGCGGGACACGUGGUAUCCUGUCUGAAUAUGGGGGGACCAUCCUCCAAGGCUAAAUACUCCUGACUGACCGAUAGUGAACCAGUACCGUGAGGGAAAGGCGAAAAGAACCCCGGCGAGGGGAGUGAAAAAGAACCUGAAACCGUGUACGUACAAGCAGUGGGAGCACAGGUUUACCUGUGUGACUGCGUACCUUUUGUAUAAUGGGUCAGCGACUUAUAUUCUGUAGCAAGGUUAACCGAAUAGGGGAGCCGGAGGGAAACCGAGUCUUAAUUGGGCGUUAAGUUGCAGGGUAUAGACCCGAAACCCGGUGAUCUAGCCAUGGGCAGGUUGAAGGUUGGGUAACACUAACUGGAGGACCGAACCGACUAAUGUUGAAAAAUUAGCGGAUGACCUGUGGCUGGGGGUGAAAGGCCAAUCAAACCGGGAGAUAGCUGGUUCUCCCCGAAAGCUAUUUAGGUAGCGCCUCGUGAACUCAUCUCCGGGGGUAGAGCACUGUUUCGGCUAGGGGGCCAUCCCGGCUUACCAACCCGAUGCAAACUGCGAAUACCGGAGAAUGUUAUCACGGGAGACACACGGCGGGUGCUAACGUCCGUCGUGAAGAGGGAAACAACCCAGACCGCCAGCUAAGGUCCCAAAGUCAUGGUUAAGUGGGAAACGAUGUGGGAAGGCCCAGACAGCCAGGAUGUUGGCUUAGAAGCAGCCAUCAUUUAAAGAAAGCGUAAUAGCUCACUGGUCGAGUCGGCCUGCGCGGAAGAUGUAACGGGGCUAAACCAUGCACCGAAGCUGCGGCAGCGAACGUAUCACUUAAAGCGAUUCAGCGGGUUACGAUUGACGGAGCGAAGCGACGUCAAAGCGUAUACAAAGUCGAGUCGGUUUAAGGAUACGUUCGUUGGGUAGGGGAGCGUUCUGUAAGCCUGCGAAGGUGGCCUGUGAGGGUUGCUGGAGGUAUCAGAAGUGCGAAUGCUGACAUAAGUAACGAUAAAGCGGGUGAAAAGCCCGCUCGCCGGAAGACCAAGGGUUCCUGUCCAACGUUAAUCGGGGCAGGGUGAGUCGACCCCUAAGGCGAGGCCGAAAGGCGUAGUCGAUGGGAAACGGGUUAAUAUUCCCGUACUUGGUGUUACUGCGAAGGGGGGACGGAGAAGGCUAUGUUGGCCGGGCGACGGUUGUCCCGGUUUAAGCGUGUAGGUGUGUGUUCCAGGUAAAUCCGGUUCACUUUAACACUGAGGCGUGAUGACGAGGCACUACGGUGCUGAAGCAACAAAUGCCCUGCUUCCAGGAAAAGCCUCUAAGCAUCAGGUAACAUCAAAUCGUACCCCAAACCGACACAGGUGGUCAGGUAGAGAAUACCAAGGCGCUUGAGAGAACUCGGGUGAAGGAACUAGGCAAAAUGGUGCCGUAACUUCGGGAGAAGGCACGCUGACACGUAGGUGAAGUGAUUUACUCAUGGAGCUGAAGUCAGUCGAAGAUACCAGCUGGCUGCAACUGUUUAUUAAAAACACAGCACUGUGCAAACACGAAAGUGGACGUAUACGGUGUGACGCCUGCCCGGUGCCGGAAGGUUAAUUGAUGGGGUCAGCGCAAGCGAAGCUCCUGAUCGAAGCCCCGGUAAACGGCGGCCGUAACUAUAACGGUCCUAAGGUAGCGAAAUUCCUUGUCGGGUAAGUUCCGACCUGCACGAAUGGCGUAAUGAUGGCCAGGCUGUCUCCACCCGAGACUCAGUGAAAUUGAACUCGCUGUGAAGAUGCAGUGUACCCGCGGCAAGACGGAAAGACCCCGUGAACCUUUACUAUAGCUUGACACUGAACAUUGAGCCUUGAUGUGUAGGAUAGGUGGGAGGCUUUGAAGUGUGGACGCCAGUCUGCAUGGAGCCGACCUUGAAAUACCACCCUUUAAUGUUUGAUGUUCUAACGUGGACCCGUUACCCGGGUUGCGGACAGUGUCUGGUGGGUAGUUUGACUGGGGCGGUCUCCUCCUAAAGAGUAACGGAGGAGCACGAAGGUUGGCUAAUCCUGGUCGGACAUCAGGAGGUUAGUGCAAUGGCAUAAGCCAGCUUGACUGCGAGCGUGACGGCGCGAGCAGGUGCGAAAGCAGGUCAUAGUGAUCCGGUGGUUCUGAAUGGAAGGGCCAUCGCUCAACGGAUAAAAGGUACUCCGGGGAUAACAGGCUGAUACCGCCCAAGAGUUCAUAUCGACGGCGGUGUUUGGCACCUCGAUGUCGGCUCAUCACAUCCUGGGGCUGAAGUAGGUCCCAAGGGUAUGGCUGUUCGCCAUUUAAAGUGGUACGCGAGCUGGGUUUAGAACGUCGUGAGACAGUUCGGUCCCUAUCUGCCGUGGGCGCUGGAGAACUGAGGGGGGCUGCUCCUAGUACGAGAGGACCGGAGUGGACGCAUCACUGGUGUUCGGGUUGUCAUGCCAAUGGCACUGCCCGGUAGCUAAAUGCGGAAGAGAUAAGUGCUGAAAGCAUCUAAGCACGAAACUUGCCCCGAGAUGAGUUCUCCCUGAGACUUAGAGUCUCCUGAAGGAACGUUGAAGACGACGACGUUGAUAGGCCGGGUGUGUAAGCGCAGCGAUGCGUUGAGCUAACCGGUACUAAUGAACCGUGAGGCUUAACCUUACAACGCCGAAG